CACCGCCAUUUUCUAGGAACUGGGAAGC
RNAcentral lists this non-coding RNA (28 nucleotides) under Homo sapiens (human). Lineage: Eukaryota; Metazoa; Chordata; Mammalia; Primates; Hominidae. The record is from RNAcentral.